This 152-nucleotide unclassified non-coding RNA is filed under the name uncultured Helotiales. RNAcentral's name for it is "sequence contains ITS1". Lineage: Eukaryota; Fungi; Ascomycota; Leotiomycetes; Helotiales. The record is from RNAcentral.
AAAAUGAAAGCCGGGAAACCGGUCCUUCUAACCCUUGAUUAUCUUAAUUUGUUGCUUUGGUGGGCCGCGCAAGCACCGGCUUCGGCUGGAUCGUGCCCGCCAGAGGACCACAACUCUGUAUUAAAUGUCGUCUGAGUACUAUAUAAUAGUUA